Molecule: ribosomal RNA, 911 nt
Filed under: uncultured bacterium
Lineage: Bacteria
Description: bacterial SSU rRNA
Rfam family: Bacterial small subunit ribosomal RNA
Source: RNAcentral
AGUUUGAUCCUGGCUCAGGAUGAACGCUAGCUACAGGCUUAACACAUGCAAGUCGAGGGGCAGCGGGAUUGAAGCUUGCUUCAAUUGCCGGCGACCGGCGCACGGGUGAGUAACGCGUAUCCAACCUUCCGUACACUCAGGGAUAGCCUUUCGAAAGAAAGAUUAAUACCUGAUGGUAUGAUGAGAUUGCAUGAUAGCAUCAUUAAAGAUUUAUCGGUGUACGAUGGGGAUGCGUUCCAUUAGGUAGUAGGCGGGGUAACGGCCCACCUAGCCAACGAUGGAUAGGGGUUCUGAGAGGAAGGUCCCCCACAUUGGAACUGAGACACGGUCCAAACUCCUACGGGAGGCAGCAGUGAGGAAUAUUGGUCAAUGGACGAGAGUCUGAACCAGCCAAGUAGCGUGAAGGAUGAAGGUCCUACGGAUUGUAAACUUCUUUUAUAAGGGAAUAAACCCUCCCACGUGUGGGAGCUUGUAUGUACCUUAUGAAUAAGCAUCGGCUAACUCCGUGCCAGCAGCCGCGGUAAUACGGAGGAUGCGAGCGUUAUCCGGAUUUAUUGGGUUUAAAGGGAGCGCAGACGGGUCGUUAAGUCAGCUGUGAAAGUUUGGGGCUCAACCUUAAAAUUGCAGUUGAUACUGGCGUCCUUGAGUGCGGUUGAGGUGUGCGGAAUUCGUGGUGUAGCGGUGAAAUGCUUAGAUAUCACGAAGAACUCCGAUUGCGAAGGCAGCACACUAAUCCGUAACUGACGUUCAUGCUCGAAAGUGUGGGUAUCAAACAGGAUUAGAUACCCUGGUAGUCCACACGGUAAACGAUGGAUACUCGCUGUUGGCGAUAUACUGUCAGCGGCUUAGCGAAAGCGUUAAGUAUCCCACCUGGGGAGUACGCCGGCAACGGUGAAACUCAAAGGAAUUGA